Cornus florida is the source of this 109-nucleotide small nucleolar RNA. RefSeq annotates it as small nucleolar RNA snoR99. The transcript has a single exon. NCBI's taxonomy places the organism in Eukaryota, Viridiplantae, Streptophyta, Magnoliopsida, Cornales, Cornaceae. The record is from RefSeq and is a predicted model, not a curated record.
ACACCUUCAGGGAUGAACUGAGUCCCUGAUAUGAAUUUCUCAUCCACUCUUUUCACUUGUCAGCCGUUCUCUUUCUGUGUCUUGCUAAUCAUUUCUGGGUGGAACAUCU